Long non-coding RNA from Etheostoma spectabile (orangethroat darter), 113 nucleotides. RefSeq lists it as uncharacterized. NCBI's taxonomy places the organism in Eukaryota, Metazoa, Chordata, Actinopteri, Perciformes, Percidae. The record is from RefSeq and is a predicted model, not a curated record. The transcript is spliced from 3 exons.
UGGUGUUUUUUUAAAUGAAACCAUUUAAACCUAUUCUUGUACAGCCUCAAAAUACAAUUAUGAACCUGAAAAUGAGCAGAAUAUGGACACUUUAAACAUGUCAUAACAUCCCU